UACGAAGGGUGCAAGCGUUAUUCGGAGUUACUGGGCGUAAAGAGCGUGUAGGCGGCAUGUUAAGUCUAUUGUUAAAUUACCCAGCCUAACUGGGUGUCUGCAAUGGAAACUGGCAAGCUAGAGUGUAAGAGAGAGAGGUGGAAUUCUCGGAGUAGCGGUAAAAUGCGUAGAUCUCGAGAGGAACACCGGUGGCGAAGGCGGCCUUUUGGCUUACAACUGACGCUAAAGCGCGAAAGCGUGGGGAGCAAAC
RNAcentral lists this ribosomal RNA (250 nucleotides) under uncultured bacterium. RNAcentral describes it as "partial 16S ribosomal RNA". It matches the Rfam family "Bacterial small subunit ribosomal RNA", at positions 524 to 773 of the family's 1533-position model. The record is from RNAcentral.